Molecule: non-coding RNA, 253 nt
Organism: Cinara cedri
Lineage: Eukaryota; Metazoa; Arthropoda; Insecta; Hemiptera; Aphididae
Source: the annotation of a GenBank genome assembly
CGGUCGGCGGGGGUUUGCCGCGUGGUGUUUUAUCGAAAUGAAAUACAACCGCCGUGCGCGAAACCCGUUCGAUGAUAUUACCGAACGUUGUUGUACAUUACGCGUUAGAUUUAUUUUCGGACUUUUAAUACGGGGUGGGGGGGAAAAAAAACAGAAAAGUUUUAACCGUUCUGCGUCGUACACGUCGGUUUAUUAAUUGCACGUUUUGCGAAAGUUUUACGUGGAUAUUAUAAUAAUAUAUGUAUAUACGUAU